GGCAGGACAUGUGAACACACAGCCAGUGGACUUGAUCUGUCCACAUACUCGGCCUUUCAUCCUGACAAGCAGGACCCUGUGUGAAGAAGAGGAAGCGCUGUCCUUACUCCAAACAGCAGACCACAGAGCUGGAGAGAGCGUUUCUGUUCAACACUUACAUCAACAAGGACAGACGUAUGCAGCUGUCCCGCCUUCUGCACCUGACAGAUCGACAGGUGAAAGUCUGGUUCCAGAACAGAAGAAUGAAAGAGAAGAAACUGAAAAGAGACAGAGUGCAGUGCUGCUCAGGAUACCACUUGUUCUGAUGGAUGGACGGGGGGGAAGAAAGAAGGACAUUAAUAGAUGGUUCUUCUUUUCUUUUCAUGCACAAACUGUGAAAAGACCCUGCAAACUGUGUCACAGCACUGUAUAGUUCCUAUCCUACAGGUUAAUAGAGACAAAUAAAUAAAGCUAGUUAUUUCCAACAGGGAACUCCAAGGCUCAGGU
Monopterus albus (swamp eel) is the source of this 486-nucleotide long non-coding RNA. RefSeq lists it as uncharacterized. The record is from RefSeq and is a predicted model, not a curated record. The transcript has 3 exons. Lineage: Eukaryota; Metazoa; Chordata; Actinopteri; Synbranchiformes; Synbranchidae.